Molecule: long non-coding RNA, 1053 nt
Organism: Raphanus sativus (radish)
Lineage: Eukaryota; Viridiplantae; Streptophyta; Magnoliopsida; Brassicales; Brassicaceae
Exons: 2
Source: RefSeq, a predicted model, not a curated record
CUCCAGUAAGCAGAGUUUUUGGUCGGAACAAACCAUUCCCUCUUGUGUUUGAGCCAUUCUACAUGCCCACCAAGAACAAGGCAAGUCUUAUAAACCCUUAUAAAAGAUUUAUAAACUCUUAUAAAUGAAUUAUACCUUAAUAAUAUAUUUAGAAAUCCUUAUAAACUGUUUUGAUAACCAAUUGUAAAUAGAUUUAUUUGCUCUGAUAGAUAAAGUUAUUAACAGGAUUAAGCAACCAAGUCUCAAGACUAAUAUUAUAAGUCUCAGAGGGAAUAAACAACAUAGUUUCGUUGAUGGCUGCCUUGUCUAGUACGCAGAGCCGGUCCUGUACUUUUGGAGGCUGCAAACCAAAAAUCAAAUUAAGGCCGAAAAAAUCAUGCACUUAAGUAGAUUCGAACCCAGCACUUCUCGCAGUAGAAUAAUACCCUUGAACCGCUAGGCCAAAGACAUAUUUUGCAAACUUUGUGGCCGAUUAAAUAAUUAUUAGUGUGGCGGCCGGAAGCCCAUGCUUCCUUUGCUUGGGCCAAGGGCCGGCACUGCUAGUAGACAUACUAACCUGGGGUCUGGUUCUGGUGGCUGGAGCUCGUCUUAGGAGGAGGAUGAAGUAGAUCCAAUGGAUCAAGAUGAUGAAGAUGGGGAUGGUGAGAAAAACGCACGUUUCAACGAACACAGAAGAGUACAUUGCGAUGAGUUUCGGUAGGUGAAGGAACUGAGGUCAUCAGGUUGACAGGGUCGUUCUAUGUAGAAGAAGAGGAAGAAGAUGAUGGCGAAAGGCAGUAAAUCAGAGGCAACAACCUCACGUCACACUACCAAAGGCGUUAACAAAGAGUUAAAUGCAACCACGAGAGUUUCAUCCUCGAGUUGAUAUCAACCUCUGCUAAAUCAAAUGUGUACUCUCCUCUAUGUUUAACAGAGUUACCUCUCGAUUAAUCAAAUCAGUUUAUUAGAAAUUAAUUUACAUACCUUUAUAUUAUGAAAUUGUUUUUGCAUCCUGUUUUCAUGUAAUUUUUUCCUCUUCAUUCAUAAUCGUGACUAUCAUAAAGCAUUAUUCUA